RNAcentral lists this long non-coding RNA (608 nucleotides) under Lupinus angustifolius (narrow-leaved blue lupine). RNAcentral's name for it is "long non-coding RNA (LANG_LNC001634)". The record is from RNAcentral. Lineage: Eukaryota; Viridiplantae; Streptophyta; Magnoliopsida; Fabales; Fabaceae.
AAUUUGUUUGAGAUAGAGGAUGCUAAAUAUCAUGUCAUUCAAUCAAGAAGAUCUUACCUAAGGGGUUCUCAAGAUGAAAAUGGAAACAACUCUACUUCAAGAAAUGAAGCUCCAAGAUGUUCAUUUGGAAUACCACUGCGUAAAUCUGUUGAAAAUGCCAAAUCUUACAAAGAUACUAACUCUUCUAAAACUAAAAGUCAAUUUGCCAAGACCAGACAAGGAUAAUCAAAUGACUGAAACAAAUGGAACCAGUGUUCAUAUGGUUUAUUUUAAGUCACUUAUUAUUUGUAUACUAUGUGGAUUUGUGUUGUUAUCAUUUAUCAUCUUAUUCCAUUACUAGUUAGCUUCACAUACUUGUGGAUGUUUCCGGCUUGAAUAUAAUUGCCUCAAAUGCAAGGAUACGAAACAACAAAAAAAUCAGCAUGUUAAUAAUAAGUCUUAAUUUUCAGAAAUUUUCCUGUGCUUUAAUGUCAUUGUUGUAGCAAUCAUCAUAAAACAAGUUACAAUAUAUGAUCACUUAAUGAUAAUUUGUGUAUUAGUGGAGUUGGAUUAAGUGACCUAUGGGGCAUUUGGAUUGUGAUUUUCUCCUAUUAGGAGUGAUAUGUGGG